GGAAGAACGUAGUGAAAUGCGAUAAGUAAUGUGAAUUGCAGAAUUCAGUGAAUCAUCGAAUCUUUGAACGCACAUUGCGCCCGCCAGUAUUCUGGCGGGCAUGCCUGUCUGAGCGUCAUUUCAACCCUCAUGCCCCUAGGGCGUGGUGUUGGGGAUCGGCCAAAGCCCGCGAGGGACGGCCGGCCCCUAAAUCUAGUGGCGGACCCGUCGUGGCCUCCUCUGCGAAGUAGUGAUAUUCCGCAUCGGAGAGCGAUGAGCCCCUGCCGUUAAACCCCCAACUUUCCAAGGUUGACCUCAGAUCAGGUAGGAAUACCCGCUGAACUUAAGCAUAUCAAUAAGCGGAGGA
Molecule: unclassified non-coding RNA, 346 nt
Filed under: soil metagenome
Description: partial contains 5.8S ribosomal RNA, internal transcribed spacer 2, and large subunit ribosomal RNA
Rfam family: 5.8S ribosomal RNA (bases 2-118)
Source: RNAcentral